RNAcentral lists this ribosomal RNA (420 nucleotides) under uncultured fungus. RNAcentral's name for it is "partial small subunit ribosomal RNA". It matches the Rfam family "Eukaryotic small subunit ribosomal RNA", at positions 30 to 432 of the family's 1831-position model. The record is from RNAcentral. Lineage: Eukaryota; Fungi.
GCUUGUCUCAAAGAUUAAGCCAUGCACGUGUAAGUAUAAACAAAUUAUACUGUGAAACUGCGAAUGGCUCAUUAAAUCAGUUAUAGUUUAUUUGAUAGUGGAAUGCUACAUGGAUAACCGUGGUAAUUCUAGAGCUAAUACAUGCGAAAAGACCCGACUUUUGGGAAGGGUUGUAUUUAUUAGAUUCAAAACCAAUGAGCCGCAAGGCUGUUUCCGCAAGGAAAGGGUGGUGAUUCAUAAUAACUGUGCGAAUCGUAUUGGGCACUUGCUGCCGACGAUGGAUCAUUCAAGUUUCUGCCCUAUCAGCUUUGGAUGGUAGGGUAUUGGCCUACCAUGGCUUUAACGGGUAACGGAGAAUUAGGGUUCGAUUCCGGAGAGGGAGCCUGAGAAAUGGCUACCACAUCCAAGGAAGGCAGCAGG